CUGUCUCAGUUCGGAUUGGAGUCUGCAACCCGACUCCAUGAAGCUGGAUUCGCUAGUAAUCGCGCAUCAGCCACGGCGCGGUGAAUACGUUCCCGGGCCUUGUACACACCGCCCGUCAAGCCAUGGAAGCCGGGGGUGCCUGAAGUGCGCUGCCGCAAGGAGCGCCCUAGGGUAAAACCGGUGACUGGGGCUAAGUCGUAACAAGGUACC
This 210-nucleotide ribosomal RNA is filed under the name uncultured bacterium. Its description in RNAcentral is "partial 16S ribosomal RNA". It matches the Rfam family "Bacterial small subunit ribosomal RNA", at positions 1283 to 1500 of the family's 1533-position model. The record is from RNAcentral.